This 459-nucleotide ribosomal RNA is filed under the name uncultured bacterium. Its description in RNAcentral is "partial 16S ribosomal RNA". It matches the Rfam family "Bacterial small subunit ribosomal RNA", at positions 338 to 795 of the family's 1533-position model. The record is from RNAcentral.
CCUACGGUGGGCAGCAGUGAGGAAUAUUGGUCAAUGGCCGAGAGGCUGAACCAGCCAAGUCGCGUGAGGGAAGACGGCCCUACGGGUUGUAAACCUCUUUUGUCGGGGAGCCAAGCGAGUCACGUGUGACUCAUUGCGAGUACCCGAAGAACACGCAUCGGCUAACUCCGUGCCCGCAGCCGCGGUAAUCCGGAGGAUGCGAGCGUUAUCCGGAUUUAUUGGGUUUAAAGGGUGCGCAGGCGGAGGUGCAAGUCAGCGGUCAAAUUGCGGGGCUCAACCCCGUACUGCCGUUGAAACUGCAGCCCUUGAGUGCGCGAGAAGUAGGCGGAAUGCGUGGUGUAGCGGUGAAAUGCAUAGAGAGCACGCAGAACUCCGAUUGCGAAGGCAGCAUACCGGAGCGCAACUGACGCUCAUGCACGAAAGCGUGGGUAUCGAACAGGAUUAGAUACCCUUGUAGUC